CCUACGGGUGGCAGCAGUGAGGAAUAUUGGUCAAUGGCCGUAAGGCUGAACCAGCCAAGUCGCGUGAGGGAAGACUGCCCUAUGGGUUGUAAACCUCUUUUAUGGGGGGAUAAAGGUGUCCACGUGUGGAUGUUUGCAGGUACCGCAUGAAUAAGGACCGGCUAAUUCCGUGCCAGCAGCCGCGGUAAUACGGAGGGUCCGGGCGUUAUCCGGAUUUAUUGGGUUUAAAGGGUGCGUAGGCUGGUCUUUAAGUGGGCCGUGAAAGUUUGUGGCUCAACCAUGAGAGUGCCGGUGAAACUGGAGGCCUUGAGUGCGUGGGAGGCAGGCGGAAUGCGUGGUGUAGCGGUGAAAUGCAUAGAUAUCACGCAGAACCCCGAUUGCGAAGGCAGCCUGCC
Molecule: ribosomal RNA, 395 nt
Filed under: uncultured bacterium
Lineage: Bacteria
Description: partial 16S ribosomal RNA
Rfam family: Bacterial small subunit ribosomal RNA
Source: RNAcentral